RNAcentral lists this transfer RNA (73 nucleotides) under Stegodyphus mimosarum. It matches the Rfam family "tRNA". Rfam says of the family: Transfer RNA (tRNA) molecules are approximately 80 nucleotides in length. The record is from Rfam by way of RNAcentral. Lineage: Eukaryota; Metazoa; Arthropoda; Arachnida; Araneae; Eresidae.
GCCUUCAUGGUGUAAUGGUCAGCACACUCGGCGCGUAUUCAAAAGGUCCGAAGUUCGAUUCCUUGCGAGGGCA